GACAUUAUCCUACGGGCAUUUGGUCGAUUAGAAACGAUACAGAGAAGAUUGGCAUAGCUCCUGCACUAAGGAUGACACGCUCAAUCAAAGAGAAGCAACCAAUUUUU
This 107-nucleotide small nuclear RNA is filed under the name Blumeria graminis f. sp. tritici. RNAcentral also lists the same sequence under 1 other name. Lineage: Eukaryota; Fungi; Ascomycota; Leotiomycetes; Helotiales; Erysiphaceae. The record is from RNAcentral.